Molecule: ribosomal RNA, 253 nt
Filed under: uncultured bacterium
Lineage: Bacteria
Description: partial 16S ribosomal RNA
Rfam family: Bacterial small subunit ribosomal RNA
Source: RNAcentral
UACGUAGGGUGCGAGCGUUGUCCGGAAUUAUUGGGCGUAAAGAGCUUGUAGGCGGUCUGUCGCGUCUGCUGUGAAAAUCCGGGGCUCAACCCCGGACUUGCAGUGGGUACGGGCAGACUAGAGUGUGGUAGGGGAGACUGGAAUUCCUGGUGUAGCGGUGAAAUGCGCAGAUAUCAGGAAGAACACCGAUGGCGAAGGCAGGUCUCUGGGCCACUACUGACGCUGAGAAGCGAAAGCAUGGGGAGCGAACAGG